RNAcentral lists this transfer RNA (71 nucleotides) under Pseudomyxus capensis (freshwater mullet). Its description in RNAcentral is "tRNA-Gln". It matches the Rfam family "tRNA". From Rfam's summary of the family: Transfer RNA (tRNA) molecules are approximately 80 nucleotides in length. Their secondary structure includes four short double-helical elements and three loops (D, anti-codon, and T loops). The record is from RNAcentral. Lineage: Eukaryota; Metazoa; Chordata; Actinopteri; Mugiliformes; Mugilidae.
UAGAAAAUGGUGUAGAGGGAGCACUAAGAGUUUUGAUCUCUUCAGGUAGGGUUCGAGCCCCUUUUUUCUAA